Molecule: ribosomal RNA, 459 nt
Filed under: uncultured bacterium
Lineage: Bacteria
Description: partial 16S ribosomal RNA
Rfam family: Bacterial small subunit ribosomal RNA
Source: RNAcentral
CCUACGGGGAGCAGCAGUGAGGAAUAUUGGUCAAUGGACGGAAGUCUGAACCAGCCAUGCCGCGUGCAGGAAGACGGCUCUAUGAGUUGUAAACUGCUGUUGUACAAGGGUAAACCUGAAUACGUGUAUUCAGCUGCAAGUACUGUACGAAUAAGGAUCGGAUAACUCCGUGCCAGCAGCCGCGGUAAUACGGAGGAUGCGAGCGUUAUCCGGAUUUAUUGGGUUUAAAGGGUGCGUAGGCGGAAUGCCAAGUCAGCGGUAAAAUCGCGGGGCUCAACCUCGCUCCGCCGUUGAAACUGGCGUGCUUGAGUGGGCGAGAAGUAUGCGGAAUGCGUGGUGUAGCGGUGAAAUGCAUAGAUAUCACGCAGAACUCCGAUUGCGAAGGCAGCAUACCGGCGCCCAACUGACGCUGAAGCACGAAAGCGUGGGUAUCGAACAGGAUUAGAUACCCCAGUAGUC